GACAGAGGCCUCGAGCGUUAGGCGGAAUCACUGGGCUUAAAGCGUGUGUAGGCGGGCCCGUAAGUACCUUGUGAAAUCCCACGGCUCAACCGUGGAACGGCUGGGUAUACUGCGGGUCUUGGGCCAACUAGGGGCAACCGGAACAAACGGUGGAGCGGUGAAAUGCGUAGAUAUCGUGUGGAACGCCAAUGGUGAAAACAGGUUGCUGGGAGUGCGCUGACGCUGAGACACGAAAGCCAGGGGAGCAAACGGG
RNAcentral lists this ribosomal RNA (253 nucleotides) under uncultured bacterium. Its description in RNAcentral is "partial 16S ribosomal RNA". It matches the Rfam family "Bacterial small subunit ribosomal RNA", at positions 524 to 776 of the family's 1533-position model. The record is from RNAcentral.